AGGGAAUAUUGGACAAUGGGCGAAAGCCUGAUCCAGCAAUGCCGCGUGAGUGAUGAAGGCCUUAGGGUUGUAAAGCUCUUUUACCCGGGAUGAUAAUGACAGUACCGGGAGAAUAAGCCCCGGCUAACUCCGUGCCAGCAGCCGCGGUAAUACGUAGGGGGCCAGCGUUGUCCGGACUUACUGGGCGUAAAGCGCGCGCAGGUGGAUGAGUAUGUGCCGUGUGAAAGCGCCGUCCUUACGAUGGCGAGGUCGUGGUAGACAGCUUAUCUAGAGGCUCGAAGAGGUCGAUGGAAUUCCGGGUGGAGCGGUGAAAUGCGUAGAUAUCCGGAGGAACACCAGGGGCGAAAGCGGUCGACUGGUCGAGUUCUGACACUGAGGCGCGACGGCGUGGGGAGCAAA
Molecule: ribosomal RNA, 399 nt
Filed under: uncultured bacterium
Lineage: Bacteria
Description: bacterial SSU rRNA
Rfam family: Bacterial small subunit ribosomal RNA
Source: RNAcentral